AUUAAGGAGCUUGAAAGGCUCAAUAUGAUCAUACAUAAGGAAUUGCUUAUGGAUUUGAUCCUGCGAUCCCUGAUUAGUUUAUAUGGAUAGGUUAUUGCCAACUACCAUAUAAAAGAUCGUCAUGGCACUUUAUCUGAAUUGGUCAAAGUGUUGAUAACAUAGGAACCUUGAAAGAGUUCAGAGAUAAAUACCUGGGGAGCCUAAAAAAAUAAAGACAUGCCUAGAGUAGGCAUGUCAAGAUUGCUCAAUACUAACCUUAUGAUUUUCUCUUCUCUCAGUUGAGUUAUAGACUCUAAGGUAGAAUCGAUGGGAAGAAAGAGGGCUGAGAAAGUAACCUUUAAAUUGGCUAUAGGGCAAUAGUUACUGCUGUGGUCAUGGGUAUCUGUCCUUUACGAUCAUUGUUUGAAUUUAGUUCUUAGAGACAGUCUCUAUCAUUUGCAUGGUGAUGUAUCUGUGAACUUAAUUGAACAAGCAGUGAAUGCCAUUGAAUAUG
This 493-nucleotide long non-coding RNA is filed under the name Elaeis guineensis (African oil palm). Its description in RNAcentral is "long non-coding RNA (EGUI_LNC005444)". Lineage: Eukaryota; Viridiplantae; Streptophyta; Magnoliopsida; Arecales; Arecaceae. The record is from RNAcentral.